UACCAUGCAAGUCGAGCGGUAGCACAAGGGAGCUUGCUCCCUGGGUGACGAGCGGCGGACGGGUGAGUAAUGUCUGGGAAACUGCCUGAUGGAGGGGGAUAACUACUGGAAACGGUAGCUAAUACCGCAUAACGUCGCAAGACCAAAGAGGGGGACCUUCGGGCCUCUUGCCAUCAGAUGUGCCCAGAUGGGAUUAGCUAGUAGGUGGGGUAAUGGCUCACCUAGGCGACGAUCCCUAGCUGGUCUGAGAGGAUGACCAGCCACACUGGAACUGAGACACGGUCCAGACUCCUACGGGAGGCAGCAGUGGGGAAUAUUGCACAAUGGGCGCAAGCCUGAUGCAGCCAUGCCGCGUGUGUGAAGAAGGCCUUCGGGUUGUAAAGCACUUUCAGCGAGGAGGAAGGUGGUGAGCUUAAUACGCUCAUCAAUUGACGUUACUCGCAGAAGAAGCACCGGCUAACUCCGUGCCAGCAGCCGCGGUAAUACGGAGGGUGCAAGCGUUAAUCGGAAUUACUGGGCGUAAAGCGCACGCAGGCGGUUUGUUAAGUCAGAUGUGAAAUCCCCGGGCUCAACCUGGGAACUGCAUUUGAAACUGGCAAGCUAGAGUCUCGUAGAGGGGGGUAGAAUUCCAGGUGUAGCGGUGAAAUGCGUAGAGAUCUGGAGGAAUACCGGUGGCGAAGGCGGCCCCCUGGACGAAGACUGACGCUCAGGUGCGAAAGCGUGGGGAGCAAACAGGAU
This 738-nucleotide ribosomal RNA is filed under the name uncultured bacterium. RNAcentral's name for it is "bacterial SSU rRNA". It matches the Rfam family "Bacterial small subunit ribosomal RNA", at positions 52 to 778 of the family's 1533-position model. The record is from RNAcentral.